AUCUGACGGCCAGCCCAUCCAGGCUUCAACGAAGCCUGCCCCGCGUGGAAGCCUCCACUGCCGGAGGAAGUCACGCAACGCUCCGAGUUCGAACCCCACCGGGGAGCUCCCCUCUCUUCCCUUUCUCUGCGCUGGUGGAUCUCCCCCAUGUGCGCCUGUGGGAGCUCCGGCGGCGGCCCGCUCGCCCACCUCCCGCACGCGCCCUCGGCCGAGGGACCCCCACCGGCCGCCCUGCCCGCGCUCGCCGUCGGGCCAAGGCUCCCCGCGGCCGGCAUGCCGCCAUCGCGGGGCGCGGGAGGCCCUCCGCGGCCGCCGUCAAGGCAAGGCCCCCGGCGGCCGGCGUGCUGCCAUCGCGGGCGGCGGGAGGUCCUCCGCGGCCGCCGUGCGGCGCUCGCCGGCAAGGCAAGGCCCCCCACGGCCGGCGUGCCGCCAUCGCGGGCGGCGGGAGGUCCUCCGGGGCCUCCGUGAGGCGCUCGACGUUGGGGCAAGGCACCCCGCAGCCGGCGUGCCGCCGGGGUCCGGAUCUACCCUCUCCCUCGCCGGAUCUAAGACUCCCUUGGCCGGGUCUGUGUCGACGCAGGGUUCCUCCGUCUAAGACUCCACCUGAUGCGCGCACGCGCCAGCACCUGCGCGAGUGCCUGGGCGCCUGCCGCUGAUGCCGCGGGCCUGGGCGCUGCGCGUGUGCCACGGGCGCCGUCCUGAUGCGCCGCGGCUCGGCGCUUCUGCCGCUGCCGCUCAUGCCGCAAGCGCCGCACGCGUCGGGGCCCUGCUGUGCUGUAGGUGCGGGCCCGUCCGCCGCCUGGGCCGUGCUUGCGCCACUGGGCACCACGCGCCACCGCUUCGUUGAUCCGUCGCGGACGCUGCAUCGGGUCUGCCCCAGCACCCGCAACACCAAUGGGCAACCGCCGGCGCCUCCGUUUCCCCAGCACCCGCAGCCCCGACGCCGAUCCCCGCCGGCGGACAACGCCCGCCGCAGAUCGUCCUUUCCGGCCCUCCUCGCGCACUCCUUUCCAGCCCUCCUCCCACGACUUUCUCUAUGUGCCUGUGUUUAGCCCGUGUCUUCUUUAGUCAGGUAAUUCCUUUAUCCCUAUAAUCAACGAAACUCAAUGAAACUCGGGAGAGCUACGUGCUAUGUUGUAAUCGUAAGUAUCUAUAUGUCGAGCUUAAUACCACACUUAAGUUGGAAAUAUGUAACUCAAGAUUAACUCAUUGUAGAAAUAGCAGAAAUUUCAUUAUCAUCUAUGUGGUUGCAAAAUAUAAAGUUCUAGACUAUCUGAUCAUACAUGUCAUUUCAUUGCACGGGUAAAAUGAUGUGUUUCUAAAUCCUUACAUGGUGCCCUAUUUUACAAGCUGCAUGUGUACCAGGGGAGCUGGCAGAGUCAGGAGUGCAUUUUAUCACUAUAGUCAUCAGCGGUGCUGAUUCAGUGCGCCUCUGAACACUUGUUGAGUGCAGGGAUGAUGGACUGGCCUGGAUCAAGAAUUCAAGAUGAUGGAGAAGUAUCUUCCCACCAAGCAUAUAUGUAGGAGGGAUGCCCGGGUGAACGGAAUUCCAUGAGCUUUUCCUUUGCAAAUUCGAAGUAUUGUGUGCCUGUUUGUUUACUUAAUCCUUCAGAAGCUAAAUCAAGGUGCCCUAAGCUCUAGGAGUUGUAUGCUUUACUACUGUUGCAGAUGUCUUCACCGUACAACAAUAGACAUGUUCGAUGCAGGACAUUGGGGUAAUAAGAAAAUUAGUUUCAAUUUUAUUAAUUGAUUCGUACUUUUGUGUCAUGCGCUCUUGUAAUCAUGCGGCAUACUUGCAUAACCUGUCCUGUAUAAGCUGCAUUCAUGUGCCAACACGGCAACACUACAUAAUCAAAUUUAGUUUAUAUUUAAGCCUAAUUUAGUUCAAUUGCUGGACAGCAGUACAUGUCUUUUUCCUUCCUAAAUUUGCAAAUUGACUUGUCGUUGUCUCUGUUACAGUCAAUUAACCUAUGUCCACUAAAGGCAGCAUUGCCAUGGAAUGGAACGGAGGGGAGUCCAGCAGCACAUGAUCCCCUCAUACAUUUUUUGCACAUGAUUUGAUGCAGGACUACUUUUGGUAACUAGCAACUUAAGAAGUUUCAGACCUACUUCCAGUGCUGUAUCAAGGCCUCGCGAGGAGGAGGUGCUUUAGCCUGUGUGAACAUUAGGUCUUGCUUCUGCUAAAUAUCCAAAAAUGUGUAAUAUAUUUACUCUGAUGACUACUCUGUCCAUAUGUAUGAAGAAAAAACCAGUUUUGUAAGUGUGAUGGGACAAAUCUGUAGAAACAAGAAAUGACCUUGCUCCACCAUAAUUCUGGCAUAUAUCUCAAACAUAAUUCUGGUGUAUGUCAACUGAAUUUAUGUUAUUCUUUUCA
Long non-coding RNA from Panicum virgatum (switchgrass), 2374 nucleotides. RefSeq lists it as uncharacterized. The transcript is spliced from 2 exons. The record is from RefSeq and is a predicted model, not a curated record. Lineage: Eukaryota; Viridiplantae; Streptophyta; Magnoliopsida; Poales; Poaceae.